AGAGUUUGAUCCUGGCUCAGAACGAACGUUAGCGGCGCGCUUAACACAUGCAAGUCGAACGAGAACGUCCCUUCGGGGGUUAGUAAAGUGGCGCACGGGUGAGUAUUAUGUGGGUUAUUUACCUUAUGGUGGGGGAUAACAUCCCGAAAGGGGUGCUAAUACCGCAUACGUCCACUUCGGUGGGGAAAGGCGGCUUCGGUUGUUGCCGGAAGAUGAGCCCGCGGCCCAUCAGCUUGUUGGUAGGGUAAUGGUUUACCAAGGUUUUGAUGGGUAGCUGGUUUGAGAGGAUGAUCAGCUACACUGGAACUGAGACACGGUCCAGAUUCCUACGGGAGGCAGCAGUGGGGAAUAUUGCGCAAUGGGUGAAAGUUUGAUGCAGCGACGCCGCGUGGGUGAUGAAGGUUUUCGGAUCGUAAAGCCCUGUGGGAGAGGGACGAACAACUUGUGGGAAUAAUAUCUCGCAGGUCUGACGGUACCUCUCCAGAAAGCACCGGCUAACUCCGUGCCAGUAGUUGUGGUAAUACGGAGGGUGCAAACGUUGUUCGGAAUCACUGGGCGUAAAGCGCGUGUAGGCGGCUUGGCAAGUUAGGUGUGAAAUUUUUUGGUUUAAUUGAGGAUGUGUAUUUGAAAUUGUUUUGCUAGAGUAUGGGAGAGGGUUGUAGAAUUUUUGGUGUAGAGGUGAAAUUUGUAGAUAUUGGGAGGAAUAUUGGUGGUGAAGGUGGUAACCUGGACCGAUACUGACGCUGAGACGCGAAAGCGUGGGGAGUAAACAGGAUUAGAUAUUCUGGUAGUCCACGCCGUAAACGUUGGAUAUUAGGUGCUGCGGGUAUUGAUUUUUGCGGUGCCGGAGCUAACGUGUUAAGUAUCCCGUUUGGGGAGUACGGUCGCAAGAUUAAAACUCAAAGGAAUUGACGGGGGCCUGUACAAGCGGUGGAGCAUGUGGUUUAAUUUGAAGCAAUGUGUAGAACCUUAUUUGGGCUAGAAAAGCAUGGAAGCCCUUUGAAAAGAGGGCGUGCCCUUCGGGGAGUUGUGAUUUAGGUGUUGUAUGGCUGUCGUCAGCUUGUGUUGUGAGAUGUUGGGUUAAGUUUUGUAAUGAGUGCAACCCCUGUCGCUAAUUGCCAGUGGUUUGGCUGGGUAUUUUAGCGAGACUGUUGGUGUUAAGCCGGAGGAAGGAGGGGAUGACGUCAAGUUUUCAUGGCCCUUAUGUUUAGGGCUACACACGUGCUACAAUGGUCGGUACAGAGAGUAGUUAAUUUGUGAGGGUGUGUGAAUUUUAAAAAGUUGGUUUUAGUACGGAUUGGAGUCUGUAAUUUGACUCCAUGAAGGCGGAAUCGCUAGUAAUCGCGGAUUAGUAUGUUGCGGUGAAUACGUUCCCGGGCCUUGUACACACCGCCCGUCACACCAUGGGAGUUGACUACUCCAGAAGUCGUCGCGCUAACCUUCGGGAGGCAGGCGCCUAAGGAGUGGUUGGUAACUGGGGUGAAGUUGAAAUAAGGUA
Molecule: ribosomal RNA, 1498 nt
Filed under: metagenome
Description: bacterial SSU rRNA
Rfam family: Bacterial small subunit ribosomal RNA
Source: RNAcentral